Molecule: ribosomal RNA, 559 nt
Filed under: uncultured bacterium
Lineage: Bacteria
Description: bacterial SSU rRNA
Rfam family: Bacterial small subunit ribosomal RNA
Source: RNAcentral
CCUACGGGAGGCAGCAGUGGGGAAUAUUGGACAAUGGGGGCAACCCUGAUCCAGCAAUGCCGCGUGUGUGAUGAAGGCCCUAGGGUUGUAAAGCACUUUCACUGGUGAAGAUGAUGACGGUAACCAGAGAAGAAGCCCCGGCUAACUUCGUGCCAGCAGCCGCGGUAAUACGAAGGGGGCGAGCGUUGUUCGGAAUUACUGGGCGUAAAGGGCGCGUAGGCGGCUCUUUAAGUUAGGCGUGAAAGCCCCGGGCUCAACCUGGGAACUGCGCUUAAGACUGGAGAGCUAGAAAACGGAAGAGGGUAGUGGAAUUCCCAGUGUAGAGGUGAAAUUCGUAGAUAUUGGGGAGAACACCAGUGGCGAAAGCGGCUACCUGGUCCGGAUUUGACGCUGAGGCGCGAAAGCGUGGGGAGCAAACAGGAUUAGAUACCCUGGUAGUCCACGCCGUAAACGAUGUCUGCUAGAUUUCGGGGGGUUGCCCCUCGGUGUCGCCGCUAACGCAUUAAGCAGACCGCCUGGGAAGUACGGUCGCAAGAUUAAAACUCAAAUGAAUUGACGG